UUUUAUAUAGUUUAAACAAAACUUUAUAUUUUCAUUAUAAAAAUAAGAUCAGGAAUCUUUAUAAAAU
This 67-nucleotide transfer RNA is filed under the name Polypedilum masudai. RNAcentral describes it as "tRNA-Glu". Lineage: Eukaryota; Metazoa; Arthropoda; Insecta; Diptera; Chironomidae. The record is from RNAcentral.